GACGAACGCUGGCGGCGUGCUUAACACAUGCAAGUCGAACGGAAAGGCCUCUUUCGGGGGGUACUCGAGUGGCGAACGGGUGAGUAACACGUGAGUAACCUGCCCUUGACUUUGGGAUAACUUCAGGAAACUGGGGCUAAUACCGGAUAGGAGCUCCUGCUGCAUGGUGGGGGUUGGAAAGUUUAGGCGGUUGGGGAUGGACUCGCGGCUUAUCAGCUUGUUGGUGGGGUAGUGGCUUACCAAGGCUUUGACGGGUAGCCGGCCUGAGAGGGUGACCGGCCACAUUGGGACUGAGAUACGGCCCAGACUCCUACGGGAGGCAGCAGUGGGGAAUAUUGCACAAUGGGUGGAAGCCUGAUGUAGCAACGCCGUGUGCGGGAUGACGGCCUUCGGGUUGUAAACCGCUUUCGCUCAUGACGAAGCUUUGUGUGACGGUAGUGGGUAAAGAAGCACCGGCUAACUACGUG
Molecule: ribosomal RNA, 467 nt
Filed under: uncultured bacterium
Lineage: Bacteria
Description: partial 16S ribosomal RNA
Rfam family: Bacterial small subunit ribosomal RNA
Source: RNAcentral